Molecule: ribosomal RNA, 440 nt
Filed under: uncultured bacterium
Lineage: Bacteria
Description: partial 16S ribosomal RNA
Rfam family: Bacterial small subunit ribosomal RNA
Source: RNAcentral
CCUACGGGAGGCAGCAGUGGGGGAUAUUGCACAAUGGGGGGAACCCUGAUGCAGCGACGCCGCGUGGGUGAAGAAGCGCCUCGGCGCGUAAAGCCCUGUCAGCAGGGAAGAAAAUGACGGUACCUGAAGAAGAAGCCCCGGCUAACUACGUGCCAGCAGCCGCGGGAAUACGUAGUGGGCAAGCGUUAUCCGGAUUUACUGGGUGUAAAGGGGGCGCAGACGGCGAUGCAAGCCAGGAGUGAAAGCCCGGGGCCCAACCCCGGGACUGCGCUUGGAACUGCGUGGCUGGAGUGCAGGAGGGGCAGGCGGAAGUCCUGGUGUAGCGGUGAAAUGCGUAGAGAUCAGGAGGAACACCGGUGGCGAAGGCGGCCUGCUGGACUGCAACUGACGUUGAGGCCCGAAAGCGUGGGGAGCAAACAGGAUUAGAUACCCGGGUAGUC